CUCAGAGCGAACGCUGGCGGCGUGGAUAAGACAUGCAAGUCGAGCGCUGGCCGCGGGGUAGCAAUAUUCCGCGGUUGGAGCGGCGCAAGGGUGCGUAACACGUGGGCAAUCUGCCGUGAAGUUUGGGAUAACUUGCUGAAAGGCGAGCUAAUACCGGAUGUGAACGCUGGGAGGCAUCUCCCGGUGUUUAAAGUUGGGGACCGCAAGGCCUGACGCUUCAUGAUGAGCCCGCGGCCUAUCAGCUAGUUGGUGAGGUAACGGCCCACCAAGGCUUGGACGGGUAGCUGGUCUGAGAGGACGACCAGCCACACUGGAACUGAGACACGGUCCAGACACCUACGGGUGGCAGCAGUCGAGAAUUUUUCACAAUGGGCGAAAGCCUGAUGGAGCGACGCCGCGUGGGGGAUGAAUGGCUUCGGCCCGUAAACCCCUGUCAUUCGCGAUCAAAGCUGGCGAUUUAAAAGAUAGCCAGUUGAUAGUAGCGGAAGAGGAAGGGACGGCUAACUCUGUGCCAGCAGCCGCGGUAAUACAGAGGUCCCAAGCGUUGUUCGGAUUCACUGGGCGUAAAGGGUGCGUAGGUGGCGAGGUAAGUCGGAUGUGAAAGCUCGGAGCUCAACUCCGAAACGGCAUUGGAAACUACCUUGCUUGAGGGUCGGAGGGGGGACUGGAAUUCUCGGUGUAGCAGUGAAAUGCGUAGAUAUCGAGAGGAACACCAGUGGCGAAGGCGAGUCCCUGGACGACUCCUGACACUGAGGCACGAAAGCUAGGGGAGCAAACAGGAUUAGAUACCCUGGUAGUCCUAGCCGUAAACGGUGCAUGCUUGCUGUAAAAGGAAUCGACCCCUUUUGUGGCGGAGCCAACGCGUUAAGCAUGCCGCCUGGGAAGUACGGUCGCAAGAUUAAA
RNAcentral lists this ribosomal RNA (903 nucleotides) under uncultured bacterium. RNAcentral describes it as "bacterial SSU rRNA". It matches the Rfam family "Bacterial small subunit ribosomal RNA", at positions 23 to 898 of the family's 1533-position model. The record is from RNAcentral.